Molecule: ribosomal RNA, 253 nt
Filed under: uncultured bacterium
Lineage: Bacteria
Description: partial 16S ribosomal RNA
Rfam family: Bacterial small subunit ribosomal RNA
Source: RNAcentral
GACGUAGGGGGCGAGCGUUGUCCGGAGUUAUUGGGCGUAAAGAGCGCGUAGGCGGCCCGUUAAGUCGGAUGUGAAAACCCGUGGCUCAACCACGGGCCUGCAUCCGAUACUGGCGGGCUCGAGGCAGGCAGGGGAGAUCGGAAUUCCUGGUGUAGCGGUGAAAUGCGCAGAUAUCAGGAGGAACACCGGUGGCGAAGGCGGAUCUCUGGGCCUGUCCUGACGCUCAGGCGCGAAAGCUAGGGGAGCAAACAGG